UGUUUUAACUAAAUGUUUACCAUAUAGGACCAUAUAUAUUGAAAUCACUUCAACAACAGGCUGCUGUCGUACCGACAAGCAAAGCUCUGCAUCUUCAAGUUCAAGGUCUUACCUGAACUGGUUCCCAGAUUGCAUAGCUACAUUGGAUAACAGACGUUCUUCUGUCUGGACUGUUGUAGAAGUUGAACUUUACCAGUUUGAAGGUGAGGAUGUUUGUUCUAUCCACAGACCUGUUACCCGUCACCUAUUCUGUAAAUUCCACCUUUUUCAGACGAACCACUUCGGUUUUGGGAAUCCUCAGGUUACCUGACAGUGACAGGUAUGGGGAAAAUCUGGAUUCAUCAUUCAGAAUAUUUUUUUGUCAUUUGUUUGACCACAAUAAUGUCAACUGGUCAAUGCUUAUUAGAUAGAGCAAUUAUUUAUCUUACACAGUUUAAAAAAAAACAAUUUAAAAUUCAGAAAUAAAGUUAUUCAUUUAUAAAUCAAUCUACCAAAUACAUGAAAUAUAUAGACCCAUUCAAGUGCACCUUUGGCUUUGGGUCCAGGGUGUUCUUGACUUUUGAUUGUAUUCAAAUUAAAGUUGUGUAGGACUCUUUGUAAACAACAAAUGAUUAUGCUGGCAUGAACAUAUCAUACUUGUAUUAGUGACUUAAUCACAAUGAAAAUCUGUAAUAGAUCAAACUAAGUAAAAGUCUCUAUUUUUUUUUACAUAAAUCUAAGUAUAAAAGAUCAAACUCAAGUUAAAAGUCUCUAUUUUUUUUUUACAUAAAUCUAAGCUUUACUUGCAUACAAUCCCUAUUUUCUAUUCGUCCAGAUCAGGCCAUGCAAAAAUGAUUGUUGGUUUCCCCUAUCCCUGCCUGGAAUGAAGAUGUAAAAAAGGAAGAAUUGUUAUAGGACUAAAUUUAAAGAAGACAUUAUCUGAUUAUUGUUUAAUAAACUGAAUGUGACUUUUUUCCUUUGUAAUACUGGUUAUUUCAAGCAUUUCUGUUAAGUUUUGUCAUAACCAGAGUUCAAUAGUUUGAGAAAAAUCUAGCAUAAUGAAAGACGACAUCUACAGCGAUUCAAGCAAAAUUUCUUCGACAAAUCCAAACCAAGCCGCAUCAAGAUAAAAUAUAUAGUGUGGACCAAUAAAUGAUCAAAUAUUUAUCUUAUCUGCCUACAAACAGUUGAAUAUGAUACUUAAGAUGAUUUUAGGAAGAUAAAUACCACUUAUGGACCUCAUUGUCUCCUUUUAUAAGGUCUCUUUUGGUCAAUUUAUACCUCUAAUUUCCUUAAAAUUUUAACUUUUCAGGUCAAUAAGUAAAAAAUAAUGGGGUAACUUUCAUUUAUGAUAGAAAUGUUACUAACUGAAGUAUUUAAGCAGAAUGUAUAAGUUAACUGUCUCCAAGGAGGUUUCAAUAAACGUCAAAAUUAAAUUAACGCAGCAUUCCAGAGAGGGACAUAAAAGGCUUCUCUUUUAAAGAAUAAUUUGUCGUUACAGCAUUAAAAAUAAUUUCAUUAACUUAUAAACAUAUAUAUUUAUUUAAGUAUUUCCUAGGAAAAAUGUUCUAUCAUAGCAGAAAUAUAAGAAAUAAGGAGAAAAAGCACCCCCCUCCAGCCCCCCCCCCCCCAAAAAAAAAAACACAAAAAAAACAAAAUCAAUUUCAAGUAAAAUAAUUCUCAUAAAAUGUGUUUUGGAGACUCAAUCCACUCAGAUGUUUCAUUUUUUGUUAUGCUGAUAUCUAUAAUACUAAAAUAAUGAGGUCCAAUUUGUCAGCCGGCAUGGGAUAAAAACGACAAAUCAAAGAAUUCAACUUUAUAUAUAUAGCUAAUAUAGGACAAUGGUGUUGAUUAAAAGUUACACCACUCCAGACCCUUUUGUUUUCCACAUAAUUAAUAUUGUAAAUAAUUAACAAGUUCCAAUACCAAUACCAAUAGUAUAUUCACCUUUUACCUAUACCUUAUCUGUACGUUCUGCAUCUGACAGGCACACCACCAAACGGUGUAUUUAGGAUUUGCUAUAUAUACAAGGGUCAUAAUCACAAGGUUGACAAUACUAAAUUCUAUCACAUUGUUUCCUAUUGUAGUAUUUUAAUCAGUAUGACUUUAAAAGAUGAUAAUAUGAAUACUAAAAAUCUAGACUUAAAAUAAGGCGUAUAGGUUCAGUUUACAAUUUGUUAGCCGGCAUGACGCAAAACAGCAAAACCAAGAAUUCGACUUUAUUUAUAAUUAAUAUUGGACAAUGCUGUUGAUAAAAAAUUACUCCAUUCCAGGCUCUUUUGUUUUUCAAAUAGUUAAUAUUACCAAUAAUUGAUAAGUUCCAGGUCGACGGUUUCUAACAGAAAGAUUUUGAAAGUAGAGAAAACUGUGCAUCUUAUAAUCAGCAUGACUUUAUCAGAUAACUAAAUAUCCAGGCUAAAAUAAGGCUUACACAUAGUUAUAUACUUUAUUUUAGUCAGGGACCAGCGAUUUCACGGGUGUGUUCUAGUCUUAUGUAAAAUUUAACACAAAUGGACACAAAAGAUACUACACUAUAUUUGACCUUCGUUCUAAUAAAAAUAAUCAAAUAUAAAUUUUGAUCUCGACUUUCUGCAUUUUCGCCGAUCUGCAUAUCAUUUUUUUUAUUAUUUCACAUGCGUAUUUGUCUUGUAUUUGUGCCAAUCGGCAUUUCUUUUUUUAUCUUUCACUUGCGUAGAUUUUGUCUUUCAUUUUCUCCAAUUGUGUACAUGUUAAUUAGAUAGGUGAAAGUUCUUUUUCAGCACCAUUUAUGAACAUUAUGUUUUCUGGUCUGUGCGUCCGUUCCUCCGUCUGUCCCGCUUUAGGUUGAAGUUUUUGGUCAAGGCAGUUUUUUAUGAAAUUGAAGUCCUAUCAACUUAAAACUUAAUACACAAUGUUCCUUAUGAUAUGAUCCUUCUAAUUUUAAUGUCACAAUUUUCAAAAAUUGAGUAUUCAGAUAAACAAUUAUUCCUAGAUGUUUUGACAUACUGGCAACGUAUGCAUGGAACUAAUGUCUUGAUGAUUCUCGUAAAAUAAUGUCCGAUCUUGCAAUGAAGUUAAAAUUUAUUUAUACUGCUUAUUUCACAAAAUCUUAUAGUAAAAAUAAAAUUAUGACAAAGGGUCAUUGUCGUUUGUCAUUUGUUUCAUUUCAAAUUGUCUAAAGGAGAAAUGACAAACAUUUCCCCUGAUCUCACUGAAGAUAAUUACCUAAUUUAUGUAUAUCAACACUUUGGUUAGCUUGCUUUCUUUGUUUGUAUAUUUUGUUUAAUUAUUUUUUGAUAAUGUCCAAUUGAAUUUAAAUAUCAUAUAUAUAUACAGGUUUACAUACCUAUAUAUGAAGAUGUCAAUCUUAAUUACAAAGCUUGAAUAAACAUUUAAACAAACAAAGCAAGGAGGCCAACCAAAGUUUUACCCUACAUGCAUUAGGAAAUUAGCUGUAAGGCAAAACAUAAUAAUAAAAUUAAUACUCAGCGAAUGUGAAAUAAAAUCAAAAUUGUCGGUGGUAAAAACUAAAAUAUAGUUAUAAAUUUAACUUAAGACAAAAAGAAUUGCUCCAAGAAUAAUAUCCAACAUUAAAUCUCUCCCUUUCAUUUAGCUUCAACUAUGACCGGAAAGAUUGAAAACAAAUUUUGAUUUUUAAUACCGGCAACAACCUUUGUUUAAAUUUCCAAAAUGAGCAAUUUAGAUUUAUAAUAUUUUAUCCUGUUGGAGAAAUCUUACUUUGUAGUUUUCAACGGAAAAUUAUUUCUAAAAUAAUUUUUGAAUUAAAAACUUUACUGUCUCGUUUAUUCAAAACACUUGAGAUAGUAAUAACAGGGAUUGUAUUUUAUGAUAGAUUUAUAACAUUUUAGAAUAAAAAACUUUAAUUCAUAUAUUAUACUAUAAUUUUAAUUUCCUUAUAUCUUAAACAGUCAGGGGACUAAAUACUGAAAUAAGUGAUUUUUAAAUCACUUAUUUGAGUAGCAAAUUUGAAGUUUUGUCACAAAUUGUGAUUUUGAAGUUUUACCAAAAUUUUAAACUGUGACAUAGGUUUAAAUAAUAUCUUUUCAUUAAUAAACUUGGAAAAAAUGAACUUUUUGCUUCUUUUAUGUAGCAAGGUUUAUGCCUUUGAUGCUAUCAUUUAUCUGCAAAUUCUAUUUUAGUUGAAAAAAUGCUAUAAUAAUGGCUUUACAUAAUGAACUGAUACUUUCUUAACAGAUUUUUCCCAGCAGUGGGAGUAUUUUUCCUGUGAAGUUCAAGGUUUCAUCUUUCAGAUUAUGUAAUAAAAUUCUACUGUUCCUGAUAAAAAUUUCACUGUUAGGGGACAGUUGAAAUUAGUGGGGGUUAUUAAAAUAAUGAUACUUAAAUAAGUGAUUUUUGGGAAGGAAAUUGAGGUAUGAUACUUAAACAAGUGAUCUUAAUGUCAUUAUCCUAGAUUCAGUACAAGGUCAUCACCUGAAAUGACCUGGUCAUCCUAGACAAAACAGAUGUUGGUUCUGAUAAUUUUAGAAACAUAAUUAGUCCCUGGAUCAUUAGUAUUCUAUAUUUAAAGCUAUAAUAAAAUUAAAUCACUUCUUUUAGUGAUUAAUUUGUACUACUUAAAUAGGUGAUUAUUAAAGAAAGACAACUCUUACUUCCAAUCUUUAUGGAAAUAAUGUUACUUUAAUCAGUGAUUUAGAAAAUCACUCAUUUAAGUAAGUCCCCUGACUGUUAAAUAUUCAGAAAUAAUGAAUCACAAACUUGAUGCAAUAAUUAAGUUUGUCUGAGUCAGGAAAAAUAAUGGUAUAAAGACGUUCGUUCAUGAUUUUGUGUGUCCGUCUGUCAACAGUAGCGAAUAAGUUCAUUAUGGCAGACUUCUAAAAUUGACACGAAAAAAAAAACACACUUCUAGUCUGAUAUAGUCAAAUACUCUGUAAGUUAGCCAGUGCCAUCUUUCAUUUUUUGUAUUUUCAAUAAUUAUUCUAAUGAGGGACAGAGGACAAAAACAGAUUUUCAUAACAAAAGCGGCGUGAAAGGUUAUUUCAAACAAUUUUUCAUUCCAACGGAUGGUGUUUCUGAAGGUAAAUAUUAUGCGGCAACAGCAUCAUAAGAUCUGAUACUGAUACAUGCAUUUAAUCUCUUGUAUUACCGGAUGAUAAAGUAGGUGAAUAUAUUUGCUAUUCUUGGAAAUUUAAAUGUGAGUUUCAAAAGUCCAAUUUGCGAUUUUUUUCAAAUAGUGGGCCAGCAAGAAAAGUUUGUACUAUGACGUCAGAUGCAAUGUUCUAAAGAAAGACAACUCUUUUCUUCAAAACAAACGAGAAAAAAAAAAACAUGAAAAUUACUCAUAACUUUUUUGAAAGGUCGGUGACACACACUUUUUUUUGCUUUAUUUUGAAGAUUACAUACACAUGGCACUUUCCUUCUUGAAAUUUUGUAUGGAUAAAUCACUGGCAGAAAUUUUUUAAUACUGGAAACGUUUUUCAUUUUUCAUUUUUAUUUUUGGCGGGGAUGAAAUAAAUCAUAUUUUUAAAGAUCAAAACAAUACGAGUUUUAAAUUUUUGAACCUGUUUUGAUAGAUACAAAUCUACUGUUUAACGUGAAACAAGAACUAUGCUUGUAGGUUUGAUAUAAAGGAUUUUUUUGAGAGUUUAGAUAACAAGCAAAUAUUAUGUUAAUAUUCAGGAAACGCGAAACUGAGGUUGCUAUAGUGACAAAAAUAAGUCGGUGACCCCCAAUUUGUUUCAUCACAUUUUGUUCCUCAAAUCAUGAAAUACCUUCACACAAAAUUUUAAGGAAAAAUCACUGGUAGAAAUGAAUAGGUUGUUUGGUCUUUAAGUAACAAUACCUAAUUUGUUUACUAUCAACCACCUUGACACUUUUUUACAGAAAAUGUAAAUAUUUUAAUUUGUCAGAUGCUGUGAAAAAGUGUCCUUCAAUUGGACAUUCUUUUAUGAUAAAGUACUAUUAAAUUCUGUCCUACAAGGUUGACAUUCAAUAAGAGGACUUUUUCACAGUGAAAGCUAAGUGUCCUUUAAAGGGAGAUAAUAAAAAAGUCACUGAUCUUUAAUUCUGCUAAGUUUUUUUUUACCUAUUCUGCAUCAAGCAAAUGAAAGAUCUAGUCGAUGAAUCAUGACUUAUUGGGAGCUGUCAACAAGCACCAAAUCUAAAGAAACUUCUGACACGAGCAAAAUUCAGUACACAGAACGAAGGUGGCAGAAAUACAAAAAUGGGGGGAUCCCAGAUGUGGAACAUGCUAAAUGCUAGAAGUAAAACUCUGAAAUCAGGCACAGCAAUUAACACCGAAAAAUAUUAUUUAUUGUGCAACCUGUCCCACUUGUAAUCAAAACUACAUACAGGUCAAACCAUUUGAUAGAGGAAGAGUUCACAAACAGCUGUCUGGACAAAGGUCCCUUCAAUUAGAAACUCUCCAUGUUCUGAACACUUUGACCAAUGUGGAAAGGGAAAAUUUAAACUAUAUCCCUUUCAGGUCAGGUGAGCUUUUCUUAUCACUUGGCGUCCGUCGUCCAUUGUCGUGCUGCCCCUGAAUUGGAAAUUUUAGCGAAAUUUUGCCGUUUUUGGUUAUUAUCUUCAAUAUUAUUAUGGAAAUAGAUAAACUGUAAACAGCAAUAAUGUUCAGCAAAGUAGGAUCUACAAAAAAGUCAACAUGACCAAAAUGGUCAGUUGACCCCUUAAUGAGUUAUUGCCCUUUAUAGUCAAUUUUUGUCAAUUUUUUUUUACAAAAAUCUUCUCUGAAACUACUAAGACAAAUUUAACCAAACUUGUCCUCAAUUAUCAUUAGGGUAUCUAGUUUAAAAAAUGUGUUAAAUGAUGCCAUCCGGCGAACCAAGAUGGCCAACAUGGCAAAAAAUUGUAACUAGGGUAAAAUGCAGUUUUUUGCUAAAAUCUCAGAAACCAAAGCAUUUUAAGCAAAUCUGACGCAGUUAAAUUUGUUUCGUUAGGUCUAGGUCUAUCUGCCCUGAAAUUUCCGUAACAAACAUGCAAAAUGUUGUUGGGUUGCUGCCCCUGAAUUGGUAAUUUUAAGGAAAUGUUGCAGCUUUUGGUUAUUAUCUUGAAUAUUAUUAUAAAUAGAGAUAAACUGUAAACAGCAAUAAUGUAGAGCUAAGUUAGACCUACAAAUAAGUCAACAUGAUGAAAAUGGUCAAUCGACCCCCUUAAGGAGUUAUUGCCCUUUAUAGUCAAUUUUUAACAAUUUUCAUAAAUUUUGUAAAUCUUGUAAAAUUUUACAAAAUAGUUUAACUACUGGGAUAGAUUCAUAGGUUCAUUAGAUAGAGAUAAUUGUAAGCACUAAGAAUGUUCAGUAAAGUAAGAUCUACAAACACAUCACCAGCAUCAAAACACAAUUUUGUCAUGAAUCCAUCACUCUGCUGUGUCCUUCGUUUAUAUGAUAUGCACAUAGACCAAGGUGAGCAACACAGGCUCUUUAGAGCCUCUAGUUUCAGAUGUGGACCUAAGAUAAAAUUCCACUUGAAGCCAAGGAACGCUAUUUUAUUUAACUGUAUAAGCCGACUUUUAAUAGGAAGUGAAAUUCGGUCUGUGAAUAAGAUUCCGUAAUAUAUACAAACUACCACAUGACGUUACUAUUAGGUAACAUCACAAGUUGUUACUAGUAACGAUAACAAUUCUGUCUGAUGAACUGUAAGGGAUGCAGUGAAAGCGCUAACAGAAACAGUGUUCGAUUUAUAAUGUGAUUUUUUUUGUGUUUUUUAUUUUUAUGUUCUUUGAAAAUUUCUUCAUACAUUGUUGGUCAUCAAAAAUGUGUGUCAUUAAUAAUAUUUACAUGUACUUGGGACCUUUUGAAUGUUCAAAACUGUUCUAUUUGCUUAAAAGUAAUCUGAAGCAAUUUCUAGACAAGCUUCGAUCAUCAGGGUAAAAAGCCUUGUGACCUAAAUAUUGAUUAAUCAGUUAAGCUAAUUUUUUUUUCAUUAAUAAAAAAAUUCUACAGAUGAUUAAGUAUAUAUAACUUAUAUUUAUUUCAAGCAAACUAUAAGAAUGUUUAUAAAAUUUAAAAAAAUCACAGAAUCUUAAUAAAAAAAAAUUUGCAUUAUUUGUUAAACAUGUUAAAGGGACAGUAUGGACUCAGUUCAUCAUUAUAUGAUUGGAGCACAUGUCAUGUGCAUGCUGUGUAUAUUGUAUAAUAGAUUUAUUAUGUCUUGUCUAUCUUAAGUUUGGUUAAACUGCCUACUGGGAAAACAUUAUUACAUGUUUACAUUCCCAAUUACUACUAUAAGUCAAUUAUGUGUGAAAAAUUUCAAUUUCAUGGGUUUUAAUCUCGGUUUUAAUCCCCCAGGAUGUGAAACAUUAGAAUUUGUGUAUAUAAAUGAAGAGAUAUGAAAAUUUUAUCCUCAGUACUGUACGUCCCAGUUACUUAAUUAAAGACAAUAGAAAAUAUUAAAUUAGGGUAAUAAAUAUCCCCCCCCCCCAAAAAAAAAAAUGAACAUUGAGAAGUUCUCACUCUGAUACAUAUUUCAAUGAUCAAUUUAAUCAUCUUUUAUAAAUUAGAUGUGAGGACAUGCAUGGAUAGUUUUAAAACUCUUUCUUAACUUGGAAAAAGCACCUGGUUUCCUUAAGAACACAACAUUUCAGGGGAGGAUGCAGAGCCUCUAUAUAUUUACUCUUCUCCUGGAUACUGAUUUGUGAACAUGUAAAAAUAAGGCAGCUAAUGCACUCAUGUAACCUCAACAGCGAAAAUGACAAAUGUAUAAUUUUAUUUACUUUUUUCAAUUUCUCAUUGAUGUGUUGUAAAUUUUCUGUUAGAAACUCACACGACUCUCUAUCUAAACUAGUGUGACAGUAACACAAGACUGUUUUAUCUUAAUUUUGCAUAUUUUUUUUCUAGGUGUACAACUGUGCAAGUAUUGAACAUCAGCUUGAAAUGCAAUGUGACCUAAAAGACAGUAUAAUAAUGGACAGAUGUAAGUAAUGAUAAAAUAGUCAAUGAUAUGGGAAAUGUAUGAAAUUGUAAGAAAAAGUUGACAGGCAUAUUGUUUUACACCUGUCCCUCCGUCGGUCAGUUAACUAUAUAUAUAGGUCAAAGUACAGCCUUCAGCAAUGAUCAUCAUACUGCAUAGUCAUAUAUAAAAAGGCCCUGAAAUUACAAUUGUAAAAUAAUUCCAAACUAAUGACCUUAAUAUUAAUAUACAAAUAAAAUAACUAAAAACAAAUAUGCAACACAGCAACAAACAACAACCACUGAUUGUCCAGGUUCCUGACUUGGGACAGGCACAGAAGAUAGCAGGAUUAAACAUGUUAGUGGGAUCCAAGCCCUAAUAAAAUCAUAUUUUAGUUAUUCUCCUCAAGAAAAUCUAAUAUAAUGUAAUUAACAUCAACCAUUGUCAACACUUUUAAAUGUUGUACUUAACUUUAUAUAUAAAGAAGAUGUGGUAUGAUUGUCAAUGAGACAACUUUCCACAAGAGACCAAAUGACACAGAAAUUAAAAAACUAAAGGUCACUGUACCCUCUUCAACAAUGAGCAAAGCCCAUACUGCAUAGUCAGCUAUAAAAGGCCCCAAAAUGACAAAUGUAAAACAAGAAAACUAACGGCCUAAUUUAUGUACAAAAAAUGAAAAAAAAAAAUAUGUAACACUUCAACAAUUGACAACCACUGCAUUACAGGCUCCUGACUUGGAACAGGCACAUACAUUACAUUGUACCUUAAUAUUUUAAUUCGCAUAUUGGUAUACAAUCUAUUGUAUACAAUCUAUUGUAUGUUUUUUUUCUUUUUUUCUUUAAAAAGUUAUAUGCAAGUUGGGGCAUAAUCUGUGUCCCAUGGACCCAAUCAUGACAUUUAUUUAUUCAGAGAAUUUUGAAAGGAAUAAAUAAUGAAUAAUUUUUCAUAAUUUUUUUUCAUCUUUUAGAAAAGUCGUCUCCUGAAACAACUGAGACAAAUCUAC
RNAcentral lists this long non-coding RNA (9846 nucleotides) under Mytilus galloprovincialis (Mediterranean mussel). Lineage: Eukaryota; Metazoa; Mollusca; Bivalvia; Mytilida; Mytilidae. The record is from RNAcentral.